This is a long non-coding RNA of Gymnogyps californianus (California condor), 3042 nucleotides long. RefSeq lists it as uncharacterized. The record is from RefSeq and is a predicted model, not a curated record. NCBI's taxonomy places the organism in Eukaryota, Metazoa, Chordata, Aves, Accipitriformes, Cathartidae. The transcript is spliced from 3 exons.
CAGGCUGGGUGGCUGCUGCUCUUACACCAUGUCUACCCUGAUGGCUGGAUCCUGCACAACAGAAGAGGGGAGGCACAGAGCAAGCAUGGCUUAGAGAUGUGGGAGAGUAUGUCUGAGGAAAAUGGUACAGGUUCUUGUGGUGCAAGACUGGCUGUGAGGUGCUGUCACAACACAGAUGCCUAUAACUAAUACCGGGGCAGAUGGUGAAACAGAGCGGGUGUCGACAACUGCCGAAGUCAAAGGCUGGAAAACUUAGUAGGAUUUGGCCACCUAAAAACUCUGAGGUUUCUGUGGCAUUGUUUGUUUGUUUUCUUUGAAAAUCUCAGCCAGAUCUGCAAAACUGUUCAACUCCCACCCUGCAUGUGGCUCUGCUCCAGUCCCAGUCGGAGGAAGGUGCACGGAUCACAGCCCUGGACCCGAGCUCACACCAAAGCAAUUGGGAUGCGAGUGGGGAUCCUGAGCUGCGAGCUGAGGUGCUUCAUUGAGCAGGACCAAGGAUGCUGCCCAUCCCACCUAACUUCCACUAGCUGAAACGUUGCCCUCUGAAGCUGAUCGCUCAGGGCCCUGUGUCAGCAGGGGAGAGCAACGGGUGCUCCCCUCGCCCCCGUGCACACCUCUCCUUUCGCUGAAUGUAGAGGGGGCCAAGGCAGCACUUGGGCAUUUGAAGUUGCAGACAAAACUGUCCUGACCACCCAGGAAUUCAAAAUUCCCCUGUGCAGGCAAGCAACCCUGCAUCCAAGAAAGCAGGGAGUCCAUCCAGCCCUCGCUAACUGAGCUCAGUGUUAAAAGCCCGUCUCCUGGGGACCUGUUCCCAUCUGCCACGGAGCAACUGGUACUAAAGGAGAUUCAAAAUCUCGAUUUGGGCAGCACUGCUUUGCUUGGGGCUAUCUGACCAUCUGCUCCACCAAAAGCCGAUCUACCCGAAUCAGGGUAAAACUCAUUCCUGGUACACUGGAGGCAGGAGGCUGUGCAAAGGAGAGCUGGUGGGAAGCUGAGCUUCUGCAAGGCGCUCCUCAGUGCGAGGAUGGAGCUGGCAGCUUGGGUUGAGUCUGCUGCAGUGAAAGGUUCUACGAACACCCAAAACUCUGCGAUUACAGCCCGUGCCUGUAUGCAAUACAUGUAUGUGACAAACGGCUGUGGGAAAAGUAUUCUCUUUCAAUAGGCAAGUUUUAGUAUAUUUGACAUUUGGUAAAAAUGGGUACACUCUUACACUUAAUGCCACAGGAAAGAAUUUAAAAGGAUUAAAGUACAUUUGACAUGGAGCUGCAUCUUCCAUUUGCCCUGCUGUCAAUCUGCUUGAAACACCUGGUCUGAUGGAAACCGCGAAGAUUUUAUCCCUGAUGUGCUGCUGUGAGAGGAUGACCUAGGAGGUGAAGAUAAAAUGGUAGCAUGUGCCCUAAAUCUUGACCCCUUGAAGUUAAGAGCAAAACUCUUCCAGCUGGAGUGGGCUCAGCCUUUAUCUUUGGUCCAACAGCUCACAGGCUGCCCAUGAUGAACCUUUUUCCUUCAUUGCCCUCAUCUGCAAAACAGGAUUAAAGGUCAGGGUGGAGUGUGCAACAUCUUCCAGAAACACCAGGAAGGUAGCCGAGGUAACCUUGCUACUACAAGAUCACGUGGCCAGUGCAGGAGAGGUGGCACUCUGGAUGUGGUGUAGGACCAAGCCCUGGAGCUGCAGGCUGCCCAGCACAGGGACCAGGCUAGCAUGCAAACUGUACCACGUAGAGGGACAGAUGUCUUCUGUGCUGAGCAGUCAUAAGAGCGCCCAAAACCCCUAGAAAGCAUUUCCAGGUGCUGAAGUAUUUGCCAGUGAUAACCCCAAACCCAUUUCAUGUCCUUUACUGAGGUCAGUGAACUUGUGCUGGCAGUUUUCACCCUGUCAAGGCUGUCACUGCAGAAGCUGCUCACCCUGAGGGCUGCAGGCUUGUCCUAAACUCCAGGACAGAGUUUAGGACUCUGCGCUCCUCCCAGCCCUGUGCGGCUGUGCUGCCUCUGCCUUCCUCCGGAGGAUCGCUUUGAUCUGCCCACAGUCAUGUCAACUGCCAAGAGAAAUGAUCCGUAAUAAGAAGAGAUUCUGGAGCUACUUAGUAGGAAAUUACUACAUGUGAUGUUGCUAAGCAAUGUUAGGCUGGCCUGACUGCCCGGGAUAACACUUCUCCGCUGGAAAACCCGAGAAAGGUCGAGGGGUGUUACGUGGCUGCUGCUUUCUGCUCAGAGCGGUGGAUUCUGGAAUAGAGUAAAUAAUAAUCCUCAUCUUAUUGGGGCUGGUGUGACAGUUAUCAGAAGUGAGAAAGAGAUCUCCCUCGAGAGCAGCAGCAGCUGCGGGAUGGACAGGACGAGGCGGGGGCAGCAGGAGAUGCACAAAGGAGGAGGGAGUCCUGCAAAGGGGAGAGGGAUGUACAGAGACAGGGAAUCACCCCCUGGGAGACAGGGGCUUUGCAGCAAGGUGGCCGUGGGCGUCUUUAGAAAGUGAAAUUAAAUUGUAAGGGGGAGCUGCCAGCCCCAUUGCUCAGCACCUGUGCACGGGGAGCUCCUGCCCUUCGGAAACCCCCCCUCCCUGCACCUGUGGAACCAGAGGCUGGGCUUUGCUGGGCUUUCUAAGAAGCUGAACUUUGCUUUAGUGGGGAGCAAAGCUCUCGAGAUAACAGCUCUUGAGCUACAACAGGUAGCUCUAGUUGGUGAGGCUCUGAGCCCUGCAAUCCAGGGGUUUUCCCUCCAAUUUCUCUGGUGUUGGAGCAGUAAUUUCAGCCCAGCUCAUGGGGACAUGGGGUAGCAUGAACUCGCCCGCAGGAAGCGAAGUCUCCCUGUCAAUUCUCUUUAACCAGUUUCUUCUGGACAAAGACUUCUUCUUUCCUCCUCCACUGCUUUGCUCUAGUCCUAUCUGAUAUUAAAUAUCUCCAGAAGCAGCUACGGUUCAUUGCUGAAUUAAUCUAUUUGUGCAGAAGGUGUCAUAUCAAUGUCCAUUACAAUUUUGCCCCAGCAGCAUCUAGAAGCAAUUUUUCAUCUCUGCCAAUUCUUCAUUAUUUCCAUUUCUUUUUUUUUUUU